CUGGCUCAGGACGAACGCUGGCGGCGUGCCUAAUACAUGCAAGUCGAGCGAACAGAGAAGGAGCUUGCUCCUUCGACGUUAGCGGCGGACGGGUGAGUAACACGUGGGCAACCUACCUUAUAGUUUGGGAUAACUCCGGGAAACCGGGGCUAAUACCGAAUAAUCUGUUUCACCUCAUGGUGAAACACUGAAAGA
RNAcentral lists this ribosomal RNA (195 nucleotides) under Lysinibacillus fusiformis. Its description in RNAcentral is "16S rRNA. Bacterial SSU". It matches the Rfam family "Bacterial small subunit ribosomal RNA", at positions 19 to 208 of the family's 1533-position model. The record is from RNAcentral. Lineage: Bacteria; Bacillati; Bacillota; Bacilli; Caryophanales; Bacillaceae.